Molecule: ribosomal RNA, 425 nt
Filed under: uncultured prokaryote
Description: bacterial SSU rRNA
Rfam family: Bacterial small subunit ribosomal RNA
Source: RNAcentral
UGAGGAAUAUUGGGCAAUGGGGGCAACCCUGACCCAGCGAUGCCGCGUGCGGGAGGACGCCUUUCGGGGUGUAAACCGCUUUUCUGUGUGAAGAGGAAGGACGGUAGCACAGGAAUAAGUCACGGCUAACUACGUGCCAGCAGCCGCGGUAAUACGUAGGUGGCGAACGUUAUCCGGAAUUACUGGGCGUAAAGGGUCCGCAGGUGGGUAGUCAAGUCGCAUGUGAAAGCCCCCGGCUCAACCGGGGGAGGACGUGGGAAACUGGCUGUCUAGAGUCCGACAGAGGUCGGCGGAAUUCCCGGUGUAGUGGUGGAAUGCGUAGAGAUCGGGAGGAACGCCAAAAGCGAAAGCAGCCGGCUGGGUCGAGACUGACACUGAGGGACGAAAGCGUGGGGAGCGAACAGGAUUAGAUACCCCCGUAGUCC